AGAAUUCUAAAAUACAAGUAGGAAUUUUUCUCAUACUCUAAUGUUACAGAGAGGGCCACAAAAUCACAAUAAAUGUCUAACCCACAGUCUCAAACCUGGUUAGUGACCAUGCUGAUGCUCUCUGCAGGUCUGGUUUCAGAGAAGGGAUUCCUUUUGCUGCAUGUAAUUUGGAAAUCCAGGAAAUGCACAGGGCUAAGAAACAGCAGGUGCUCAGACACCAAAGACCAACACAGUUACCUAAGCUAGUUUGUUGCAAAAGUGGAGGGUGGGGUGAGGGGGGUCCAAAUAUGAAAGAAAAGCACAUGGGGGAAAACCAAGUGUUCAGUUUAAAAAUCACAUAGGCCCAGCAUCAUCUUGAAGAGACAAAACACUAAUGAAAGGGAUUCUUUGUUUAAAUGGGGACGAAAAGCAAUCCAAGAACUAAUGGGAACCAUUUAUAAUUUGGGGACAAAGGGAUUAUUUAGAGAUGACAUGGAAACUUCUUGUAGAUGGGAUGCAACUCAUUGUCUCAUUCUACCAAGACAGUUUUUUAGGGAGGUUCCUGUCACCCUAAAAUUAGGCAGAUUGGAAUUAUUAAAACAUAAAAAUGCAAAAACUCUUGGGUGUAAUUGACAAAAGGCAGUUUGUAUAUGUUUUAAAAUGAAAUGGGAACAAACCACUGCAAUGGAAGCUGUAGACAUUCUUAACUGUGAGCUCACUCUAUGAGAACAGCUCCAGGGGAAACCAUUGCCUGAUGAGAAUCUGCCAGUAGAGUAUGCAUAAAGGGCAGACUCACAAAAUAGGUAAGCAAGAGGUUGCUGAGGGCAAGGCAACAAUUUCUGAUUGAAAAAUGCAUUUUUGGUGUAUUGAAAGGAUAGAAGGGUAGUUUCUCACCAUGACAAUUUGGAUGUCUCUCAGACAUCUCAAAUUCAACAUUUGAAUUCCAAAUUCUCAUUUUUUCCUCCCUUGUCCUGUUUCUUCUAUCAUCAGUGAAAGGAAACUCUACCUUCUAGCUUCUCAGGUCAAAAAUCUUGGUAUUGUCUUUGACUUCUCUUUUGAGAAAUUUUGAAAAUUUGCAUAGUUUUUCUCAAAACUCUCACCCAUUCUAUCAAAUCCUGGUAUUUUCACCUUCAAAAUAUAUCCAGAGUUUAUCUCUCCUCACCACUUUCUCCAAGACCACCUUGUUCCAAGUCAGCAACAUACAUAUACUUUAAGAGGCUCAAGCAGCACUCAUAGAAGUUGUGGGCUUGACCUCAAACAGUAAGUCAUAUUUUAAGCAGCUGCUUGGGUCUGGAGUACCAAAGGAUGGCCACAAUGGUCUCAGGAAAUCUUACAAGGUGAGAUUCAUUACUUUAGCCUUUGACAUCCAUCCAUCCCAUUUGAAAUAUCGAAUGGAAUGUUUCAACAAGAUCCCUGCAUUAAAGACUGAUUGAUGGCCUUUGCCCACUCCCAUCAAGUCUAGACAGUGAGUGGUUUGAUAGCCCUUUGGAGGGCAGUGAAGGUUCCUGGUUCAUACUUGAGAAUCCUGACAAUGAGAUAGCAGGGAACCAAGGCAGCAGUAUGGAUGCCCCUGGUGUGACCCUUCAGAAUAAAUCUGGGAUAAAGUAGUCAGAGGAAAACAAAUACAUGGUGUCAAGGCAGAACAGCGUUUAAGAAUUAGGUAGUGGUCACGGGGAUCAGGACCAAGGAAGUACCCAGCAGGCCUGUCGGUAAUCACUGGCUCCAUGAAAUCCUGAUCCACUGCGAUCUGCUGUGUCCAGUGGACUAUGGAGGUCCUCAAGACACCAUCUUUUGAAGGAUACAGAACCUUACCAUCACUCCCCACAUCCCCAGGUCCUCAGGGGAAAGCUGGAGGAGCCCAAAUCUUUCCAGAACCUUGAAAACCACCAUCGUGAAUAGGUGAGUGAGGAGGGUGGAUGAAGGAGUGAAUUGGCUGUGUGAUGACAAUUCCUUUUUGAAGGAAGAACGUGCAAAGUAGCAAAAAUCGAGACACAAAAAGGAGCUAACCAUUUCCUAAUUUCCUAAGCUGCGUAACCCAAAGAGGAAGAGGUCAGAACUGUAGUGAUUUCCACUGUUCUGCGCCUGGAAGACCCAUCGAGAUUCCGACGCGGAUCGGGGCAGCGUGAGCUCUUCUCGCAUCCUGCCAGCAGGCGGCACUGUGGGAGCCAAGCUCACGGUGCAGCUAAGCGCGGGAGAGGCAGUGUUCCCAGGAAGCCCUGCGUGUCUCCACGGCAACGGCGCCAGGGGCGGGUCCAGGGGGGCAGGCCCCGCCCACAACGCGGCCUCCGCUUUCAGAACUUCUCUGCUGCGGUUUGAGUGACUCAGAGCUCCCAGACUCCACACCGGUCUUGGACCCUCGAUGGACCCUCGCAGGAGGGCUCAGGCAAUGCAGAGUCUUCAGGAGGCAGAAAUUUAUUUAUUACAAUUCUGGAGGCUGGGAAGUCGAAGACCAAGAUGCCUGGUGCGAGAGCCCAUCCGUGUGUGACUGACCAUUGACCCUGAG
This is a non-coding RNA of Marmota flaviventris (yellow-bellied marmot), 2482 nucleotides long. Lineage: Eukaryota; Metazoa; Chordata; Mammalia; Rodentia; Sciuridae. The record is from RefSeq and is a predicted model, not a curated record.